CCUCCUUUAAAGAAACCGGAAUAUGGCGUGAAAGCGCCCACACAAUCUGCCUAAUCGCCGUAAAGAUAGACCGCGGGUCUGUAGCUCAGUUGGUUAGAGCGCACCCCUGAUAAGGGUGAGGUCGGAAGUUCAAAUCUUCCCAGACCCACCACCUUCGAGCAUAAGCAGCAACAAGGGAACAAGGGGCCAUAGCUCAGACGGGAGAGCACCUGCUUUGCAAGCAGGGGGUCGGCGGUUCGAUCCCGCCUGGCUCCACCACGAGAUAAACCACGGCGGCACAUUGCCGCCGUGGUUUAUCUCCUGGCCCAGGGGCCGCGGGACGUUCUUUUACAUUUUAGGUAGUAGUGAUGUACGACGGUGAAGUCGGGGCAGCGUUUGACGUCCUGACUUUACUGGGUAUGCCAGCAUUUAUUAUGGUAGUAGUUGUUACCCA
RNAcentral lists this transfer RNA (433 nucleotides) under uncultured Chromatiales bacterium. Its description in RNAcentral is "partial 16S-23S ribosomal RNA intergenic spacer". The stretch from base 75 to 148 matches the Rfam family "tRNA". Lineage: Bacteria; Pseudomonadati; Pseudomonadota; Gammaproteobacteria; Chromatiales. The record is from RNAcentral.